RNAcentral lists this ribosomal RNA (541 nucleotides) under uncultured bacterium. RNAcentral's name for it is "bacterial SSU rRNA". It matches the Rfam family "Bacterial small subunit ribosomal RNA", at positions 355 to 896 of the family's 1533-position model. The record is from RNAcentral.
UAAGGAAUAUUGGUCAAUGGACGCAAGUCUGAACCAGCCAUGCCGCGUGAAGGAUUAAGGUCCUCUGGAUUGUAAACUUCUUUUAUUUGGGACGAAAAAGGGCCUUUCUAGGUCAACUGACGGUACCAGAUGAAUAAGCACCGGCUAACUCCGUGCCAGCAGCCGCGGUAAUACGGAGGGUGCAAGCGUUAUCCGGAUUCACUGGGUUUAAAGGGUGCGUAGGCGGGUAGGUAAGUCAGUGGUGAAAUCCUGGAGCUCAACUCCAGAACUGCCAUUGAUACUAUUUAUCUUGAAUAUUGUGGAGGUAAGCGGAAUAUGUCAUGUAGCGGUGAAAUGCUUAGAUAUGACAUAGAACACCUAUUGCGAAGGCAGCUUACUACGCAUAUAUUGACGCUGAGGCACGAAAGCGUGGGGAUCAAACAGGAUUAGAUACCCUGGUAGUCCACGCCCUAAACUAUGAUUACUCGACAUUUGUGAUACACAAUAAGUGUCUGAGCGAAAGCAUUAAGUAAUCCACCUGGGAAGUACGUCCGCAAGGAUG